GAUGGUUUUCAAAAAGAUUACUGCAUUCACAUUGCUGGAUUGUUAUUGGAAGAGCCAGAUGAAGCUGAUGCAGUUCCAGAUGCUAAAUAUGAAAAGUUUAUUGGAAGGCUCAAUAAAUGUAGCAUUUACAGCCACAGACUUGCUGCUGACGUUCACAACACUCAGGCUUUAUAGGUGAUCUGCUCAAGACAUGUUGACAGAUGGCUUGCUUGGGAAAGUGGCGCUUCCCAUUGUGUCUCCUGUGGGCAGUGCUCCUGCCCUGCUUCUCUGUUCAACACCACUCAAGUCUUCCAAAGUUUCACCUUAUUUCCAUCUGACUGGAAGAAAUGAUCAAACUGGAAACAGGAGCCUCAAAGCAAGAUUAGUGAGCUGCUUGUGUUCUUGUCUCUCAUCAGAUAUCUUGCACAUGGAUGUAGUAGGUUCAUUGAACCUGUCUUGCCCUUUACAGACCUAAAACCUGUGACAGAUCAUGGUUAUAAAACAUAAAAAUCCAUGCUGCAAAUUGCAGCUGUUUAAGAGCUGACUUAUGAGCAGUUCAGAACUCUGCUGCAGCAGAGGGAAGAUAAUGGGCUAUGGCACAACACCCUGCCCCAAUCUAAGUCACCCUCACAUGAGAGCCAUCUGCAA
Pezoporus occidentalis (night parrot) is the source of this 627-nucleotide long non-coding RNA. RefSeq lists it as uncharacterized. The transcript has 3 exons. The record is from RefSeq and is a predicted model, not a curated record. Lineage: Eukaryota; Metazoa; Chordata; Aves; Psittaciformes; Psittacidae.